GCACCCAUAGCUCAAUGGCAGAGCAUCCGGCUCUUAACCGGCAGGUUGGAGGUUCGAGUCCUCCUGGGUGCA
This 72-nucleotide transfer RNA is filed under the name Candidatus Microgenomates bacterium. Its description in RNAcentral is "tRNA-Lys". It matches the Rfam family "tRNA". From Rfam's summary of the family: Transfer RNA (tRNA) molecules are approximately 80 nucleotides in length. Their secondary structure includes four short double-helical elements and three loops (D, anti-codon, and T loops). Further hydrogen bonds mediate the characteristic L-shaped molecular structure. tRNAs have two regions of fundamental functional importance: the anti-codon, which is responsible for specific mRNA codon recognition, and the 3' end, to which the tRNAs corresponding amino acid is attached (by aminoacyl-tRNA synthetases). tRNAs cope with the degeneracy of the genetic code in two manners: having more than one tRNA (with a specific anti-codon) for a particular amino acid; and 'wobble' base-pairing, i.e. permitting non-standard base-pairing at the 3rd anti-codon position. The record is from RNAcentral. Lineage: Bacteria; Candidatus Microgenomatota.